UGGGGAAUAUUGGGCAAUGGAGGAAACUCUGACCCAGCGACGCCGCGUGCGGGAUGAAGGCCUUCGGGUUGUAAACCGCUUUCAGUAGGGAAGAAGCGAAAGUGACGGUACCUACAGAAGAAGCACCGGCUAACUAUGUG
RNAcentral lists this ribosomal RNA (140 nucleotides) under uncultured bacterium. RNAcentral's name for it is "partial 16S ribosomal RNA". It matches the Rfam family "Bacterial small subunit ribosomal RNA", at positions 355 to 507 of the family's 1533-position model. The record is from RNAcentral.